This 1179-nucleotide ribosomal RNA is filed under the name Branchinella kugenumaensis. Its description in RNAcentral is "16S ribosomal RNA". The stretch from base 510 to 1179 matches the Rfam family "Archaeal large subunit ribosomal RNA", at positions 1423 to 2777 of the family's 2987-position model. Lineage: Eukaryota; Metazoa; Arthropoda; Branchiopoda; Anostraca; Thamnocephalidae. The record is from RNAcentral.
UAAUUAAUCGGUCCUUUCUUUUAUUUAAAUUAUUAUUUUAUUAGUAUAAAAAUCAAAAUUAUUUAGAGGAUACAAUAUUACCGUGAGGGAAUAAUAUUUUUAUAGAGAAAAAGUCAUUUUUUGUACCUUUUGUAUCAGGGUUAAUCUAAUUUUUAUUUUAAUAAAGUUUUCCCGAAAGUAGGUGAUUUAUUUCCUUUUAAUGUUUCUGUGUCAUAAGUUUAUUUAAGAAGAGAAUCGUUGUUAUAAAUAAUUCGGACCUAUAUAUCUGGUUAGCUGCCUUUCCUUUUAGAGGUAACCAAUAUUCUUGGUUUAUUUAAUAGGGGAUGAGCUCUUUUAACAAUUAUAUUAUUUAAUUGAUUAGUUGAAAAUUGAGGCUUAGAAAUUGCCCUUUUGUAAUAAUUAACUCAACUCUUUUUUUAAUUUUAUAAUAAUUAAGAUUCUGAGCAGCUUACCUAUAAAACUCAACUGUUAGGAAAAGAAUGGUUGAAUUAGUAGAAUAAGAUUUUAUUCUUAAGUAUUAAUUACUGUAGAAUGACGAAUAAACUAAAAAAGGAACUCGGCAAAUUUAGUUUCCGCCUGUUUAACAAAAACAUGGCCUUUUAUCUUUUUAAGGUCUGGCCUGCCCACUGAUAUUGAAGGGCCGUGGUAUACUGACCUGCGAAGGUAGCAUAAUCAUUUGCCUUUUAAUUAGGGGCUGGAAUGAAGGGUUUUACGAGAAACUUUCUGUCUCUUUUAGUAAUUUGAAUUUAAUUUUUUGGUGAAAAAGCUAAAAUUUUCUUGUAGGACGAUAAGACCCUAUAGAUCUUUAUAGAAUUUCUCUUAAAAUUUUUAGUUUUAAGUAAUUUUAAGAUUAGUCUAUUUUGUUGGGGCGACAAUGAGUGAUGAUUUAUCUCUCAUAUUUAUCUUACAAUUAUCAUUGGGUUUUGAUCCUUUAGUGAAUUAAGAUUAAGUUACCUUAGGGAUAACAGCGUAAUUUUUCUUGAGAGUUCUUAUCGACAGAAAAGUUUGCGACCUCGAUGUUGGUUCAGGAUUCCUUUUGGGCGCAGUAGUUCAGAAAGGUAGUCUGUUCGACUAUUAAAUUCCUACGUGAUCUGAGUUCAGACCGGCGUAAGCCAGGUUAGUUUCUACCCUCAAGAUUUUUAGAUUAGAGUAGUACGAAAGGACCCUUUAAUCUUUUGU